UACGAAGGGGGCUAGCGUUGCUCGGAAUCACUGGGCGUAAAGCGCACGUAGGCGGCUUUUUAAGUCAGGGGUGAAAGCCCAGAGCUCAACUCUGGAAUUGCCUUUGAGACUGAGUGGCUUGAGUACGGGAGAGGUGAGUGGAAUUCCCAGUGUAGAGGUGAAAUUCGUAGAUAUUGGGAAGAACACCGGUGGCGAAGGCGGCUCACUGGCCCGUAACUGACGCUCAUGCACGACAGCGUGGGGAUCAAACAGG
Molecule: ribosomal RNA, 253 nt
Filed under: uncultured bacterium
Lineage: Bacteria
Description: partial 16S ribosomal RNA
Rfam family: Bacterial small subunit ribosomal RNA
Source: RNAcentral